UUAGGAAUUUUGCACAAUGGGCGAAAGCCUGAUGCAGCAACGCCGCGUGGACGAUGAAGGCCUUCGGGUCGUAAAGUCCUUUUCAGAGGGAAGACUUCGACGGUACCUCUGGAAUAAGCCUCGGCUAACUACGUGCCAGCAGCCGCGGUAAUACGUAGGAGGCGAGCGUUAUCCGGAUUUACUGGGCGUAAAGAGCGCGUAGGUGGUUCCAUAAGUUGGGCGUGAAAGCCCCCGGCUCAACUGGGGAGGGUCGUUCAAUACUGUGGAACUUGAGGGUGGACGAGGAGACUGGAAUUCCCGGUGUAGUGGUGAAAUGCGUAGAUAUCGGGAGGAACACCCGUGGCAAAGGCGAGUCUCUGGGCCACUUCUGACACUGAGGCGCGAAAGCGUGGGGAGCGAACGGAAUUGGAUACUCCGGUAGUCCACGCCCUAAACGAUGGGCACUAGGUGUGGUGGGUAUCGACCCCUGCCGUGCCGCAGCUAACGCAAUAAGUGCCCCGCCUGGGGACUACGAGCGCAAGCUUA
Molecule: ribosomal RNA, 525 nt
Filed under: uncultured bacterium
Lineage: Bacteria
Description: bacterial SSU rRNA
Rfam family: Bacterial small subunit ribosomal RNA
Source: RNAcentral